This 449-nucleotide ribosomal RNA is filed under the name uncultured bacterium. RNAcentral describes it as "bacterial SSU rRNA". It matches the Rfam family "Bacterial small subunit ribosomal RNA", at positions 354 to 796 of the family's 1533-position model. The record is from RNAcentral.
GUGGGGAAUCUUGCGCAAUGGACGAAAGUCUGACGCAGCGACGCCGCGUGGGUGAUGAAGGCCUUCGGGUUGUAAAGCCCUGUGGGGAGAGAAGAAUUAGUACUGGCUAACAUCCAGUAUGAUGACGGUAUCUCCUUAGCAAGCACCGGCUAACUCUGUGCCAGCAGCCGCGGUAAGACAGAGGGUGCAAACGUUGUUCGGAAUUACUGGGCGUAAAGCGUGUGUAGGCGGCCACGUAAGUCGGAUGUGAAAGCCCCGGGCUCAACCCGGGAAGUGCACUCGAUACUGCGUGGCUUGAGUACUGGAGAGGUUGGUGGAAUUCUCGGUGUAGAGGUGAAAUUCGUAGAUAUCGAGAGGAACACCGGUGGCGAAGGCGGCCAACUGGACAGAUACUGACGCUGAGACACGAAAGCGUGGGGAGCAAACAGGAUUAGAAACCCUAGUAGUCC